CAAAGAAGAUUGCUAUACGAACCUAUCACAGAGUUAAGAGGGAACCUGCCCUGUGGUCCAAGUUGAAAGUAGUGAAUUCCAUGAAAUCCUCAGUGGCAGAUUCAGGAAUUUGAAGUAGAAAAGAAGCCCAGGGAGGAAUCUCACAGAUGGAGGGACUAGAGCUGAGGAACUAACCUACCAGGAGUUCUUCACGCAAGGUGACCUGGAGAAAGCCAUUGGCAUCCCUCCAGUGGAGAUAUACGACAGAGAGAAGGCGUUUAUUCCUGAAUUGCAACUUAACUUUCUGAAUCACAUCGCAAGACCUGUAUAUCAGAUUCUUGCCGACAUAUUUCCUGAAGCACAAGUUCUUUUAAACACGGUGGAUGGUAACCGAAAUAUGUGGAUCAAGCUCUCCGAGACGAAAGCAAGCAAUGACGCCUCAAAGCAGCACAAUUCUCUUGAUUUCUUUGACAUGCAAUUCCAUAGUGAAACGCCCGCUUUGAUUCCAGAAGAAAACAAGGAAAGGAAAAAGCAAUUAAAUCCUCCGAAAGAUAGUGCCAUUCUGUGCUGUGGCUUCACACCCCAUUGGUUGAUGUAUACUCCCUUAGUUUACUGCCAUUCCAUGCUGUGGUUUUACCCACUUGAUGAAUGACUGAUGUAGGGUAAAAUGAUAUAGACAGGGCAAUGCUUGCUUUAUAACACAUGUUUAGAGCUUGUUAUUCACUUCCCCCAACAAUCGUCAGUUUAUGCGAUUCUACGGAGAACUCAACGCCAUGACGUGCACGCAAGGGAUUGUUUUUAAUGACUAUCCGUUCAAACUGCCAACGACAAUCAGCAGACGACGGCAUCGCUUCUUCUAGCCAUCCACAGAGAGUGGAGUUGGAUUCAUCGGCCGAUGGUCUUACAACUGCCGUACGACACAUCAAGUUUUAUAGGUAGCCAAUACCAUCAAGAUGUGUACAAAAUCCAGAGCACCAAAAUUCAGUGGACCUUUCUCAUUGGUCAGUUUGAUUGACGCCCUGGAAAGGCCCAUUAUCACUGUCUUAAGUAACCUAUCAAGUAAAAUGAUAAAACAUGGGAUUUAUAUAUGCACAGUUGUAUAUUGUUCAGUAAAAUGCAAGACAUAUAACAGUAAUAUGACAAAUUGUAUUUAUUUAGAUACACUGUAUUGGAUGUAUGUGAUUUGGGGUUUUGUUUGUACUGUUGCUGAUAAUAGUGAUGAUGAUGGUGGUGGUUAUGGUGGUGUUGAUUUCAUUAUUUUAUUUUUCAGUUCUUUCAUUUGUAUUUAUUUAGAUUUUAAAAAAAGAAUACCACACAGCCUGAUACACAGAUACAAAACUCAGUGAGCUGGAGGGGCAGAGCCUUCAAAUUGAAGUUAGCUGCUUAAUAAUAAGAAGUAAACACACUAUUCUAUUGGU
This 1397-nucleotide long non-coding RNA is filed under the name Anneissia japonica. RNAcentral describes it as "uncharacterized LOC117116621, transcript variant X2". The record is from RNAcentral. Lineage: Eukaryota; Metazoa; Echinodermata; Crinoidea; Comatulida; Comatulidae.